RNAcentral lists this ribosomal RNA (371 nucleotides) under uncultured bacterium. RNAcentral's name for it is "bacterial SSU rRNA". It matches the Rfam family "Bacterial small subunit ribosomal RNA", at positions 527 to 896 of the family's 1533-position model. The record is from RNAcentral.
GGAGGNNNNGAGCGUUGUUCGGAAUCACUGGGCGUAAAGGGCGUGUAGGCGGUCCGCUAAGUCUGAUGUGAAAGCCCGGGGCUCACCCCCGGAGGUGCAUUGGAAACUGGCGGACUCGAGUCCCGGAGAGGAGGGUGGAAUUCCUGGUGUAGCGGUGAAAUGCGUAGAUAUCAGGAGAAACACCGGUGGCGAAGGCGGCCCUCUGGACGGUGACUGACGCUGAGACGCGAAAGCGUGGGGAGCAAACAGGAUUAGAUACCCUGGUAGUCCACGCUGUAAACGAUGAGCACUAGGUGUCGUGGGUAUUGACCCCCGCGGUGCCGCAGCUAACGCAUUAAGUGCUCCGCCUGGGGACUACGGCCGCAAGGUUA